GCUUCUUGAAGAUGUCUCACCGUUGCCUCCAUUGGCUUUUGUACUAGGUAGUAAGAUGUAAAGGGGAAAGAAUUUUUAGUGAUGGUUUCUUUUCAGUGUGUUUGUCUCCUGUAAGAUUGUGGCCAGCACAGUAGCUGUGCGUCAGCAACGAAGUCUAGUUACAGGCUUCGGUGUUAGAAGGAGAUUGAGUCAGUUCCUCUGGUUGCUGUAUUUGGACUCAUCUGAUGGCCAACAUCCAUCCGGAUUUGUCUUUCUACUAACAGCCCACCUUCUGACUGACCGUGUAGGAUCAAAGGGCCUCCGAUCAAAUUUUGUCCAUGUCUGACCCAACCUACCAGAUUUUGAAGCAAAUGUUUUCGUGCCUGCCCACGCAAACUGCAAGGAGGACAACACAAGAAAAUAAAUGAAAGUGCCAGGAAAAUUAUUUUUUUGGC
This 434-nucleotide long non-coding RNA is filed under the name Anser brachyrhynchus (Pink-footed goose). RNAcentral's name for it is "lncRNA (ENSABRG00000018606.1)". The record is from RNAcentral. Lineage: Eukaryota; Metazoa; Chordata; Aves; Anseriformes; Anatidae.